UCAGCCUGUGCCGGCUGGCUUCACAGGGACCUUGCAGGGUCAGGUCUCUCCUCUUGGGUUUUCAGGGCUUUCAUCCUAAAACGAAGGCAAAGCCAGGGAUCCCUGCCCUCUGUCCAGAAAGUAGAGCAGGCUCCUGUAGCUUUGGAUUCUUAAGAGUGUGUGGCUUCCCUCCCCUCUCUUCUGGCUCCCCUCUGCCUGGGCUCUGGGGGACCCUCUAGACCACUUCAGUGCAGCACUCAGGAAUGUAGAUGAAGCAGGAGUGGAUGCCCUGGGACUUGCUGCUCUCAUUCCCUCAGGCCCAGGCUAUUUCCGCUUGGCCCUGGGCAUGUGGUCAUGUGCUUUUACUCAUGAGCGGUUUGUGAUGAAAACCCUGUGCCCCUCUCGGCUGCCUUUCCCCAGGAAGCAGCCUCAGCUAGCAGGGAGGGGGGGUCAGAGACCCAGAACUUACUGCCCAGCUCAGCAGGGGUUGCUUGGGAAUGGUGGCUUCAGGUUCCCUGGCCUGCUGGUCAGGGAUGGGAGGCUCAGAGGCUCAGGUUUCCCGCCACCAUCCCCUGCUUCCUUUGGUGUUGGGGAGUGACAGCCUUUGGCCAUGAUGUCAUUGCCUAAUCCAAACAGAAGGGAGGCUGGGCUCCGUGGCAGGCUGCGGGCCAAUGCUGAGUGCUGCAGUAAAUCGCAGGGGCCAGGCGGUGAUUAGGUCUGUGGAGAGAACCCACCCCUCCCUUCUCCCUGGUCCUCUUUUUCCUCUCCGGCUCCUGACUGGCCUUCCCUCCCUCCCUCCUCUCUUCUUGCUUCUCUAGAGAUACUUUAGCUUCUCCAUGACAUCACUGCUCAGCCAGGAGUGCACAGGGCUAUCACCUCUAGAUUCAAAGUCUGUCCUGUUCCCUCUGGAGGAGCAGGCUCCUAGUAAAGAGAUGGGGAAGGGAAGAGGGAGCGGGGCUUCUUGGAAAAGGAGGCAUGGCACCCUUAUGCUAUUUCUCUGCUGUCUGAAGUCUGGCUCCUGGCUCCUUGGUUUUGCCUUGGCCUGCUCAACUCUUCCUGAGCUAUGAAGGGCUGUUCAGCAUCAAAGGCACAAGGGACCAAGUUCAGGACAGUGGUUGUCCAUGGGUGCCUGGAACUUCCUGGAGAGAAAUGGGCCCAGUGACUGUCCUGAAUGACCCUGCCAUAUGGUUCUGUUCUGGUGAAAUAUGGCCUGGGAACAAAGCUAGUGUUCCCAGUGGUUGCUAGUCACCUGUCUCCUCGAUUCCCUUCUCUGCUGGCUACGGAGCUAACGUCACCGAGGAUGCUCACUGGGCCUGUUUUCCACCUGAGUGCAGUGGAGGAUCUGGUAGGGGCAGCUGACUGUCACAUACCUGGCUGCAUGGCUGCGGCCACAUCUUUGCCAGGUGUACAGAGUCCUGGGGUCUGGGGGAUACAUCUGUAUGAGUGGAGUGGAAGAGGACUCCAGAGAGAUAGCCAUCCCCCUGCCCCCGCCUCAGGAAGCUCCAGGGUGGAAAGGAAGACAGUCAGCCAUGACAGCCUGUCUAGGAGACCCUAGCCCGCUUGGACUCUCCCAGAACGGAAGAAGCUCUCAAAGUCGGGCCCCAGAGGACAUGCCAUAUUUUCUAACCUGAUAGCCCUGUGCCUGAAGCUUGAGAGAGGUCUGUUCCCUGAAGGUGUUACACAGCCCCACUCCCCAAGGCUUCUGAUCUCCCCAGCCCUGGUGGAGAGGGGAAUCCAAGUCUAGCCAGCAGCCGCCCCAGGCUGGAGUGUCACCUAGAAGGCGUGUAACAGCCUGGGCUGUUGCUUUCAUAGUGGCUUCCAGAGAAAAUACCACUUUCAGGUUCUCCGUGAGCUGAGAGGGAAAACAGCACCCUGUGGGAGGGGAAGGGAGGCUUGGCUUUUCCCAAGGGCCCAGAGACUCCAGGAUACAACUGUAACCCUUGGCCUGCUUGGCAGAGGACAAACACAAGAGCUCUCUGUGUGUGAGACAAGCUCAGCUUCCACGGCCGAGUGGACGCACCAAGCCUCCCGCUCUCCUCACGGCUGUAAGGUGUCAGUCUACUGCCCUGAGGAGCCUUGAUGUAGCAGCCACCGCUGUGAGCGCAGUUCUGGGAUGUAGGAGCACGGAUGGGGACCUCAUCACUACCUAGAGCUACAGAGAAACUCUGUUUCAAAAAACCAAAAUAAUAAUAAUAAUAAUAAUAAUAAUAAUAAUAAUAAUAAUAAGGAAAAGGAAUGUGGACUGGGGUUUUGAAAGUUGAGUUGUUAGAAAGUCAGAGACAGGAAGCUGUCCCUGGAAGAAUGGCAGACAGCUCGCCUAAAGCAGGGAGGAGGGGAGCAUCCAUGCAAGGGCAGGCUGAUGGGUGUGGUGGAUGGGCAUGGUGGAGGGGCCUGAUGAACCGAGAGGUUGAUGGGCAUGGAUAGGGAGACUGAUGGGCAGAGCCCUCUGUGGGAGCCCAUGUGGGGCUCAGUUUCCAUCUGGAGUCCAUUCUGACUUAAAAGUCAUUUGAGGUCAAGCUUGCCUGCCCUGCUUCUUCCAAUAACCUUGAGGGCUGUGAGAGACUUCUUCUGAGUUAGCCCAUGGGAAAGAGCAUUGUGCCCGUGAAAAAGAACAUCUUAUCUCGUAGAAAGAAUACUGCUGACGCCAAACCUCAGGAACAUCAAGAUAGAAAGUGAGGCUGCUCCCGAGCAGCACGCGUGAGUUGGAGAGGAGGCUGCUCACUCAAGGACAGGAAUGUCCUGUGGUUAGAUACUGACUGACCGGCUGUGCUUUGUUCCUCUGCCUUUGCAUAUAAGCAAAUUCUGAAGUAAACUCCGGGCUGUUUGGCUGUUUCGGCAUGACCAAACAGACCUCCCGAUUCCA
Alexandromys fortis (reed vole) is the source of this 2842-nucleotide long non-coding RNA. RefSeq lists it as uncharacterized. The transcript is spliced from 2 exons. NCBI's taxonomy places the organism in Eukaryota, Metazoa, Chordata, Mammalia, Rodentia, Cricetidae. The record is from RefSeq and is a predicted model, not a curated record.